This is a non-coding RNA of Paramuricea clavata, 1869 nucleotides long. The record is from the annotation of a GenBank genome assembly. NCBI's taxonomy places the organism in Eukaryota, Metazoa, Cnidaria, Anthozoa, Malacalcyonacea, Plexauridae.
UCAAAGUUCUCAUGCACACGACUGCGCAAAUUUAUACAAAAAUAUUUGCUGUUUCACUUGCGGUACUUAAAUUAUAAAAUGCGUGUGUUCUUUCACACUAAUCAAUAAUUAAUAAGCAUUUAAAGUGUGAGGGAUGUUUUGGGAAUAAAACGUUGAUAAUCGUACUAUUAGUCCGUUAAACACCUCGAAUGUCGGCCUUAAGGCAGGUAAUUCCCUCAGGGACUUCGGCUCUGGGUGUUUCCCUUGUCUAAAGCCAACUUUCUCUGUGUUUAACAAGUAAUUUAUUAAUAGGUAGCUGACGAGUAGCUGUUUGCUUUUUUAUAUCAUCGCCAAUUACGAUCCCGCGAGAUUCCCGUCACGCGCCACGCAGUAUGUGCAAUCGCCGCGCUUGCAAUAAUUUCGAUAAUGUUAGUGAAUAACACUAAAUGUAGUUUAAUUUUUAGAAAUGGAUACCAACCGGUUACAAACUGGACGUGAGUUUGCUUCCAAAGGUCUAUCAACUAUUGUUAGUUAUUUGGGGCGUCAUUGGAAUAACCAUGACAAUAAAUGGGUAAAGUUUGGUCUGCUUGGCCUUGGUGGGUUGUACAUUUACUAUAAUGUAACAAGUUAUUUAAAGAAAGAGACAUUAAUAAUAACAAACAAUAACGGAACAAUCAAUGUACAUGUAAACAGUGCAGUCACUUAUAACACGAACCCGAACAUAAAGAUGAAGAGUGGGGAAAAUUUAUCUAGGAUAACAAUCAAGGAUAUUUGAAUAUUUCUGGAAAUCAUUAGAGAGACAAAAUCCGGAAUUAUUUUAUUAUACAUUAAUAAUCAUGAAAACUUUAUGCUGCAUGGUUUGGAUAAUUUACAAUCCUGCUACUUGAAUCACACCGUACGGCAUAUGUACAAUUAACAGUAAAAGAUAAUUAAGAUUACAGAACACCUUUGAGUGUUAAUUUUGCCUAAAAUUUUUUUAUUGGUCUCCAUGAAAGCAUUGGACUAGUUCUACUAUCUGACAAAGUUUGAACGAAAAAUGUUGAAAACUCGCAGAGUUAUUUAAUAAAAUACAUUUCGCUGCAAUAAGAAAAACAUUGAAAAUGUAAUAUUCAAAUUCAAUUUUCUCCCGAAGAAUUUUACGCCAAUUACUGAUUUUCAAACGAGUUGUGCUCCUGCGGGUUUUAGCGAAUUUCUCUCAAAUUUUCACAGGACAUAGCUAAAGACGUAAGUUUCAAAAUUGUGUUCGGCUUUGCUCUAAUUUUGGAUACUUUAAUAAUAAAGAGCAAUUCACUCAAACAAUUCAGAAAUAUAUUGCAGUCGUCAAAGAAAUCGCCAUAUCAGCGGAAUGACGAAGUAAACAAAAAUUUCCGAACACUAUUUUUUAGAACAUCUAUUUUACUGUUUAAAAAUGAUAUUUUUAUAAAUAUAACUUAAAACCAGCAGUAGCACAACUCAAAAGCGUAACGGUACAGCGAUUUACGAUUUUCCUGAAUAAUUCUUACAUUAUUUUAUUGUUUGUUAAUUUUAUAACUUUACCAUAUUUUGCAUGCACUGGCGAACAUUUGGUGAAAAUUUGAUGAAAAUCGGACUGAUUUUGACCGCGCAGUAGCGAUUUUCCGCAAAACGACAAAAAGGGUGUCCUGUAACCUUAAACGAACAAGCGAUUAUAUAUGUACAUAUAAAUAUUGAAAUUUUAAUAAUUCAUGGUUUGUACAACUUUUGUUUCGAAAGCAGAAAAUGUAGCAAGUCGCUCUAAUUGCUUAAGACGCUAUACAAUACUGUUGCUCCUUUUUAUCCAGUCCUGCGGUGUGUAAUAUUUCUAAUUAAAAUGGUAGAGCAUUUCUUGUCUUCAACGUUAUUAUGUACGUUAGUUUCAAAUUUAACAGCAAG